This is a non-coding RNA of Phrynosoma platyrhinos (Desert horned lizard), 73 nucleotides long. The record is from the annotation of a GenBank genome assembly. NCBI's taxonomy places the organism in Eukaryota, Metazoa, Chordata, Lepidosauria, Squamata, Phrynosomatidae.
UCCAGUGUGGUGUAAUGGUUUGAAUGCUGGACUAGGAGUCUGGGAGACCAGGGUUCAAAUCCCUGCUCAGACA